RNAcentral lists this ribosomal RNA (449 nucleotides) under uncultured bacterium. Its description in RNAcentral is "bacterial SSU rRNA". It matches the Rfam family "Bacterial small subunit ribosomal RNA", at positions 329 to 794 of the family's 1533-position model. The record is from RNAcentral.
GUCCAGACUCCUACGGGAGGCAGCAGUGGGGGAUAUUGCACAAUGGGGGAAACCCUGAUGCAGCGACACCGCGUGGGUGAGGAAGCGCUUCGGCGUGUAAAGCCCUAUCAGUGGGGAAGAAAAAGGACGGUACCCAAAGAAGAAGCACCGGCUAACUCCGUGCCAGCAGCCGCGGUAAUACGGAGGGUGCGAGCGUUAAUCGGAAUUACUGGGCGUAAAGCGCUCGUAGGCGGUAUGUCAAGUCAAGGGUGAAAUCCCCGCGCUCAACGUGGGAACUGCCUUUGAAACUGGCAAACUGGAGUGUGUGAGAGGAUAGUGGAAUUCCAGGUGUAGGAGUGAAAUCCGUAGAUAUCUGGAGGAACAUCAGUGGCGAAGGCGACUAUCUGGCACAUAACUGACGCUGAGGAGCGAAAGCGUGGGUAGCAAACAGGAUUAGAUACCCGUGUAUC